Ficedula albicollis (Collared flycatcher) is the source of this 1094-nucleotide long non-coding RNA. RefSeq lists it as uncharacterized. The record is from RefSeq and is a predicted model, not a curated record. Lineage: Eukaryota; Metazoa; Chordata; Aves; Passeriformes; Muscicapidae. The transcript has 2 exons.
ACUCUUGUUUUUGGGGGUGAUGCAGCCAAUUGCUGGAAUGCAACUAACUGCAGUGCUCACCUUCCAGGUGUGCCCCCUGCUGCACGCAGUUUCGUGCUGUAGGAUAAGGCUUCCUUCCCCUAGGAGGAAAAUGUCCUGCGGUACACCUACAAAUGAAUUUCUUUGUGAUCAUGUCAGAAAGAUUGCUUGAAUAACACCAACAACAAUUAAACAAAACUGCAAAGUAAGCCAGAAAAAGGUUUGAUUUUAUUAGGAAUGGUACAUUUAAAUACAUGUAAGACUUCGGGAUUAAUUUACAUAUUUUUUCCAAAAACGUUUCCCUUCUUUGACAAUACAGAAGUUAAAAAAAACCCAUCUAAUUCCAAAUUGUAAGAACAACAGUAUUUGCAAUGGAAAUUUCUAUUAAUCAAAACAACUGUGCAUUCCGGAGAUUUUGACUACACUUUUCCUGGGAUUUUUUUGCUGCUCUCAUUACUAAAAUAACCUUCCUUUCCAUCAAGACUAUUGCUAGUCAUACACAUGUUAUUCAGUAUCACACUUUUGGGUAUGAAAGCUAUGUCACUUUUAUAAACAUCAAAAACAUGGACAUGCAUAUUGACAUUUCUGUGCAGUUUUAUGAAGUCACCUGUCAAAUAAGGCCUAUACAUACAAUACCACAUACUAGUGAAUUACUGUAAAAUUAUUAUAAUGGAUUCCCAAUAAACCUGACAUCUGGAUGGUAUGUCUCAUUUUAACAGAAAAUUCCAGCUUUCAUUACUGCUUAACAUCAUAUUAAUUAAUUAUCCAAGUGAGCAAUAUUCAACUAACCAAUGUGUAUUCCUGAAAGUCUUUAGCAAAUUAAGCAUAUUGUCAAGGUCAUGUAAAGCUGGAACUUAAAACAGCCUGUUAAGCCAAGCAACGGGGAAAAAGGGGAACUCUAAACUAAUUUCAUCUGGUCCAUUCAUUCUCGCACAGAAAAGUAGCCACAGAACCUUAAAGGAAUUAAAUCUAUACUUCCUGUUCUCGGACUUAAUACCAAGGACAAAAGCUAACAUAGUAUUUUGGAAGUCAAAGGCCUUGGAGGUGGAGGGGAAAGAAGGGGCAAGAGAGGGAGA